UACGUAGGGAGCAAGCGUUGUCCGGAAUAAUUGGGCGUAAAGCGCGCGUAGGCGGCCCGAUAAGUCCGCUGUGAAAGUCAACGGCUCAACUGUUGGAUGCCGGUGGAUACUGUCGGGCUAGAGUACGGAAGAGGCAAGUGGAAUUCCUGGUGUAGCGGUGGAAUGCGCAGAUAUCAGGAGGAACACCUAUAGCGAAGGCAGCUUGCUGGGACGUUACUGACGCUAAGGCGCGAAAGCGUGGGGAGCGAACAGG
RNAcentral lists this ribosomal RNA (253 nucleotides) under uncultured bacterium. RNAcentral's name for it is "partial 16S ribosomal RNA". It matches the Rfam family "Bacterial small subunit ribosomal RNA", at positions 524 to 776 of the family's 1533-position model. The record is from RNAcentral.